Molecule: long non-coding RNA, 1271 nt
Organism: Mauremys mutica (yellowpond turtle)
Lineage: Eukaryota; Metazoa; Chordata; Testudines; Geoemydidae
Exons: 3
Source: RefSeq, a predicted model, not a curated record
AAUCAAGGACUUUGAGCACCUCAACAACAACUGUUCAAGCUCCCUCAAAGGGAGGCAGGCUGGCCUCCAAAUUAUUACCCCGAGAUACUGUCUGGUAGUUUGUCUGAGGAGAUUGAGCCAGACUGUGGUUUGCCAGAUGCUUCCUGAAGGAAGAGAGGCUCAUAGCAUAUUUGGGACUGUUUGUUUUUCCUUUGCUUUGUGGUUUUCCUUCUGUGGAGCCCUGGAAGGGACAUGCUCCAGUGGAACCCAGCCAGAGCCUGAGUUUCCAUUCCUGGACAUGUACUGCUCACUGCCUGGACCUGGACAACAAAAGGUUGGAAACCCUUAGCCCAAGAGCAGCUGCCUCAUGCUGGAAGCUGUCGAGAGAAUCUUUGAGAUCGAUUGCAAACUGACCCAGGAGGGUGACAUCAUCUGAAUAAUCCAGAUCAAGUUGAGACCUACAUUGAGAGCAGAUUAUCCCACAACUGUCAUUGCAAGAUUUUACACCUUCCUCUGAAGCGUUGGGUACUGGCCACUGUCAGAGUCAGCGUAUUGGUCUAGAUGGACAUUAGAUCUGAGUCUGGCAAUUCCAUGUUCCUAAUUAACAGUUAAUGUAGAAUAGGCUUUUUGGAAUUGGACUACCCUUUGAAUGCAUAAGAAUAUUGUGACACUCUGUAACCCAUGUUUACCACUUUUAUACGGUUAUGUUAUAUUUUUUACAAAGUAUACCAUGUGAGGUAGCAUUUGAAAACUCAUAAUCUGCUGAAUGUUAUUAUCCUGUUGAAAUGUGUGUAACAACAGUGCAUGUAGAAUCAUAAGAAUUUGCUAUAUGACUGUUACUGAAACAUGCUGUAGUUGGGUAAUGCCCACAAAAUCCAUUUUUCAGAGACAAAGACACACUGGCAACUGGUAUCAACAAAGUCAAGUGAGCUAUCACUUACUUACACAACCAUUCUUCAGCAACAGGGAAGUGUAAACAAGAAGUUUACAUUUCUUCCCUGCUACGGUAUGACUCUCAUAUACACAGGGGACUGUUUGUCUACACCCCGGUGAGGGGGUAAUCCUCAGAGAGAGGAGUAGAGUAUAAAAAUAAAGGACAGUGACCUCAACAGGUCCCAUCUCUUUUGCUUCCAUCUCUCCAUUUAUGAUAAUGACUCUCAAAGAACUGAACAAACAAGGGAGUAGUAAUCCCAGGCUUUAAAGGGAUGCAGCCUGUGAAAUGUAUUGCAGCUCAUGGUGAGACACACCUUUUGCUUUUAAGACUAUUUAGUCUGGUAAAGUUAGGAAUUAGC